CUGGACCAAGCCCUGGUUUACUCACAUCCAUCCAGUAUUUAAGAGACAGUACCACAGAUGCCAGAGUAAAUACAGACUGUGACAUUACAAUAACUGGACAAGAACAUCUGUGCAAGGAUGAAGACAUUACAUGCAAUGCUACUGAUGUUGUUUGCUGCAUCAGUCUUUUCAAAACCAUUUCAUUUGCGCAGAAGAUUUGAUUCAUCAGACUCAAGCGGAGAAGAAAAUGAUUCAAGCAGAGAAGAUAGGGAGGAUUCAGAGUCCGAUGAGAAAUCUGAAUCAAACGAGUCUAAAUCAAGUGAAUCUGAAUCUUCGGAGGAAGAUAUCAGAGUUGUGCCAAGCGCACUCUCUCCAGCUAGCACAACAAGUCCAUCGACUGCUGGCAAGACAACAACACCAUCAACUACCAAGACACAAGAUAUCACAAACUGUUUUAUUGUGGAUCUUACAAGAAGGGGUGAUAAUGAUAAUGUCCAUAUAAUACCUUGCAGGAAAACUGCUUAAUCCUCUUUUAAUGCAAAACAAACAAAAGUUGAAUGGUGUACAAUUCACUGGAGAUUACAGUAUAAAGUAAUGUUUAUGUGUUGAUAAUGAAGGUGUUGAUACAGAAUGAUAACUUUUAAAAUUAUUUACUUUUAAAUUGCAUGUCCCUAUUAUGGGUUUAAGUGUUUAUUUAGAAUAAAAAAAAUCUUUCAAAUUCAA
This is a long non-coding RNA of Onychostoma macrolepis, 702 nucleotides long. RefSeq lists it as uncharacterized. The record is from RefSeq and is a predicted model, not a curated record. The transcript is spliced from 3 exons. Lineage: Eukaryota; Metazoa; Chordata; Actinopteri; Cypriniformes; Cyprinidae.